This 375-nucleotide ribosomal RNA is filed under the name uncultured organism. RNAcentral describes it as "partial 16S ribosomal RNA". It matches the Rfam family "Bacterial small subunit ribosomal RNA", at positions 527 to 896 of the family's 1533-position model. The record is from RNAcentral.
GGAGGGAGCUAGCGUUGUUCGGAAUUACUGGGCGUAAAGGGCGCGUAGGCGGUCGGGUAAGUCGGGUGUGAAAUUCCGGGGCUCAACCCCGCGAACUGCAUCCGAUACUGCUCGACUUGAGAGAGGUAGGGGCGAGUGGAAUUCCCGGUGUAGCGGUGGAAUGCGUAGAUAUCGGGAAGAACACCGGUGGCGAAGGCGGCUCGCUGGACCUUUUUCUGACGCUGAAGCGCGAAAGCGUGGGGAGCAAACAGGAUUAGGUACCCUGGGUAGUCCACGCCGUAAACGAUGGGUACUAGGUGUUGGGAGGAUUGACCCCUUUCAGUGCCGACGCUAACGCAUUAAGUACCCCGCCUGGGGAGUACGGCCGCAAGGCUG